Molecule: ribosomal RNA, 201 nt
Filed under: uncultured bacterium
Lineage: Bacteria
Description: partial 16S ribosomal RNA
Rfam family: Bacterial small subunit ribosomal RNA
Source: RNAcentral
GUAGUCUGCAACUCGACUACANGAAGCNGGAAUCGCUAGUAAUCGCGAAUCAGAAUGUCGCGGUGAAUACGUUCCCGGGUCUUGUACACACCGCCCGUCACACCAUGGGAGUCGGGAAUGCCCGAAGUCAGUGACCCAACCGGAAGGAGGGAGCUGCCGAAGGCAGGCUCGAUAACUGGGGUGAAGUCGUAACAAGGUAGC